GUAGGAGUCUUCAUGCCGUAUAGCGCCCCCUGGUGUAGGAAACAUGGACACCAGUGCAUUCCACUCUUUUUUUGCCUCUUUGUCAACUCAAGUGGCUUUAUUGUCGUUUCAGUCACACAAGUCACCUACACAAGGGUGGUAUUUUUUUUUGCGGAAUUGCAGUCGCACGGAAUAGUUCUGCGCUCUUUCGCAGUGAUGUUUGUUGGUAAACGAGACCUUUUGGCUGUACUCCUGUUCGACGCAUGCAAAUAGAAGAGGGCGUGGGUUGAACGCGUGUUGUGAUGACGUCAUGUCUCGGCCCAAAUCUGUGAAAAAUUGAAAAAUUUCAGGUACCUAUGAAUAUUCUGGCAUCUGCUUGGUUUUGUGUUAAUUUCUGCGAUCAUGAAAUCCUGGAAGAGGAGCCCCGAUGAUCUUCUCAGCUGUCAUCACUAUCUUGCGAGGGUCUUGCGAUCCGAUACGGUGCGAUUUCCGAACUAGACAGUGAUGCAGCUGCUCAGGAUGUUCUCGAUAGUUCCUCUGUAGAGCGUGGUGAGGAUGAGGGGUGGGAGAUGGGCUUUCUUCAGCCUUCUCAGAAAGUAAACACGCUGCUUGGUGUUCUUGGUGUUGAGGGAGCAGGUGAGGUUCUCUGCCAGGUGAACAGCAAGGAAUUUGGUGCUCUCGUCGAUCUCCACGGAGGAGCCGUCGAAAUUCAGCGGAGGGUGGUCGCUCCAUGUUCUCCUGAAGUCAACGACCAUGUCUUGUUUUGUUCACGUUCAGAGACAGGUUGUUGGCUCUGAGGCAGGACACUGAAGACUUCUUCGGCACGGGGACGAUGGUGGUGGUCUUGAAGCAUGAUGGAACCAUGUCUCUCUCUCUGUCUCUCUCUCUGUCUCUAUCUCUCGAUCUCUCUGUCUCUCUCUGUCUCUCUCUCUCUCUGUCUGUCUCUCUCUGUCUCUCUCUCUCUGUCUGUCUCUCUCUGUCUCUAUCUCUCGAUCUCUCUGUCUCUCUCUCUCUGUCUCUCUCUGUCUCUCAUGUGGAAAUCCACUCCUCUCCACUCAGUAAUAACAUUUACAGAUUUACGCAUUAAAGCUGAUCAGAAGGCAUUUUAAUAAUUGAUCCAGUUUUUCAGGAACACCUUGU
Molecule: long non-coding RNA, 1119 nt
Organism: Ictalurus punctatus (channel catfish)
Lineage: Eukaryota; Metazoa; Chordata; Actinopteri; Siluriformes; Ictaluridae
Source: Ensembl